GACGAACGCUGGCGGCGCGCCUAAUACAUGCAAGUAGAACGCUGAAGGAGGAGCUUGCUUCUCUGGAUGAGUUGCGAACGGGUGAGUAACGCGUAGGUAACCUGCCUGGUAGCGGGGGAUAACUAUUGGAAACGAUAGCUAAUACCGCAUAAUAGUAGAUGUUGCAUGACAUUUGCUUAAAAGGUGCAAUUGCAUCACUACCAGAUGGACCUGCGUUGUAUUAGCUAGUUGGUGAGGUAACGGCUCACCAAGGCAACGAUACAUAGCCGACCUGAGAGGGUGAGCGGCCACACUGGGACUGGGACACGGCCCAGACUCCUACGGGAGGCAGCAGUAGGGAAUCUUCGGCAAUGGACGGAAGUCUGACCGAGCAACGCCGCGGGAGUGAAGAAGGUUUUCGGAUCGUAAAGCUCUGUUGUAAGAGAAGAACGAGUGUGAGAGUGGAAAGUUCACACUGUGACGGUAUCUUACCAGAAAGAGACGGCUAACUACGUG
Molecule: ribosomal RNA, 495 nt
Filed under: uncultured bacterium
Lineage: Bacteria
Description: partial 16S ribosomal RNA
Rfam family: Bacterial small subunit ribosomal RNA
Source: RNAcentral